Molecule: non-coding RNA, 74 nt
Organism: Trichonephila clavipes
Lineage: Eukaryota; Metazoa; Arthropoda; Arachnida; Araneae; Nephilidae
Source: the annotation of a GenBank genome assembly
GUCCCUGUAGCGCAAUGGAUUGCGCGUUGGACUUUAAAUCCAAAAGUCGUGGAUUAUAAAUUCCACCUGAGAUG